This is a long non-coding RNA of Magnolia sinica, 459 nucleotides long. RefSeq lists it as uncharacterized. The transcript has 2 exons. The record is from RefSeq and is a predicted model, not a curated record. Lineage: Eukaryota; Viridiplantae; Streptophyta; Magnoliopsida; Magnoliales; Magnoliaceae.
CACACUCCGAUAAAAUUGUACCUACCCGUAAAAAGAACCCAUAAGAGCCCGCCAAGCAAGGAUACCUGGUUAGAAAACUCUACCCAAUUCAGAUGUCUAAUGCCUCCUAAAUUUGAAAUGUAGGUUACUAAUUAGAUUUGCAGCGUCUUUGAAUUUUUACAGAUCCAGAUUCACUGGAGAACCUAAAGUUUCACCAAGCCUAAGGACAGAAAUAUUGCAGGUCAACACAGUUUUAUACAAGAAUUAGGUCACUUAUGGACUUUUCCUAAAUUUUGUACUUGCCCAAUGGUCCUAAAAAUUUACAGGAGCAUUAAGGCUCAAAUUAGGGACAUAAAAAAAAAUCCUAAAAAUUUACCAACCUAUUUUGGUUAUUUUUCAAUAGGGUCUCUACAGCUAGGUUUGAAACUUUGCCAUAUGGCAAAAAAAAUAAAAUAAUAAUAAUAAUAAAAAUCAAAGAAA